GCCUUCUCCAAAUCAAAGAACCCAAACUCUCUCUCAGCCUUUCUGCACAGGAGUUGYGCUCCAGCGCUCUAAUCAUUUUUGUGGCACUCCUCUGGACUCACUCCAACAGGUCUACAUCCUUCUUGAGUUCCCUGCCUCAUUCUUCACCUUCUGGUUCAAUUGUAGCAUCCAGAGACUGACAGAAACGCAGAAUCAUUCACGUUAGAAGAGGAGGCCGCCCUGCUCAGAGCAGAACCAAAUAGAUCCGGUUGCUUAGGCUUUUUCCAGCCCAGCUUCAAAUGCUUCAAGUGUUUCUUAGGAUGGAGAUUCCACAGCCUCUCUGGGCCAUUGUUCCAGUAUUGGACUGCCCUCUUGGUUUCCAAAGGACAUAAGUAAUAUGUGGACAUCACACAUAAAAAUAUCAGGAAUUGCAGCAUAAAGGCUGCCGCUCUAUGGCCGUGCACGUAAACUACAGCUUUAGUUCCAAUGGAGUAAACUAUACUGGAGGGGAUUCUGGAAAUAAGUGAGACAACAUCUGGGCUUCAUGUYCCAGAAUGAGUAUGAAUACCUUAAAAGAGGACAAAGGAAAAAUCUACUUUAUCAUGUGUAGGUACCUACCAGACUGAUAUCUUAUAUACAUUACAGAGAAUUUU
Long non-coding RNA from Malurus melanocephalus (red-backed fairy wren), 632 nucleotides. RefSeq lists it as uncharacterized. The transcript has 3 exons. The record is from RefSeq and is a predicted model, not a curated record. NCBI's taxonomy places the organism in Eukaryota, Metazoa, Chordata, Aves, Passeriformes, Maluridae.